Molecule: non-coding RNA, 32 nt
Filed under: Rattus norvegicus (Norway rat)
Lineage: Eukaryota; Metazoa; Chordata; Mammalia; Rodentia; Muridae
Source: RNAcentral
UGGGCUCUGAGAAUUGUAGCACAGCUACAGAG